UACGUAGGGCGCAAGCGUUGUCCGGAAUUAUUGGGCGUAAAGAGCUCGUAGGCGGCCUGUCGCGUCCGUUGUGAAAACUCGAGGCUCAACCUCGGGCUUGCAGUGGAUACGGGCAGACUAGAGUGCGGUAGGGGGAGACUGGAAUUCCUGGUGUAGCGGUGGAAUGCGCAGAUAUCAGGAGGAACACCGAUGGCGAAGGCAGGUCUCUGGGCCGCAACUGACGCUGAGGAGCGAAAGCAUGGGGAGCGAACAGG
RNAcentral lists this ribosomal RNA (254 nucleotides) under uncultured bacterium. RNAcentral describes it as "partial 16S ribosomal RNA". It matches the Rfam family "Bacterial small subunit ribosomal RNA", at positions 524 to 776 of the family's 1533-position model. The record is from RNAcentral.